UACGGAAGGGGCAAGCGUUGUUCGGAAUCAUUGGGCGUAAAGGGCGCGUAGGUGGUUCUGUAUGUCUACCGUGAAAGCGUACGGCUCAACCGUAUUUUGUCGGUGGAAACUGCAGGACUUGAGGCUGGGAGGGGCUGGUGGAAUUCCCUGUGUAGCGGUGAAAUGCGUAGAGAUGGGGGAGAACACUCGUGGCGAAGGCGGCCAGCUAGACCAGUUCUGACACUGAGGCGCGACAGCGUGGGGGGCAAACAGG
RNAcentral lists this ribosomal RNA (253 nucleotides) under uncultured bacterium. RNAcentral's name for it is "partial 16S ribosomal RNA". It matches the Rfam family "Bacterial small subunit ribosomal RNA", at positions 524 to 776 of the family's 1533-position model. The record is from RNAcentral.